Long non-coding RNA from Antechinus flavipes (yellow-footed antechinus), 573 nucleotides. RefSeq lists it as uncharacterized. Lineage: Eukaryota; Metazoa; Chordata; Mammalia; Dasyuromorphia; Dasyuridae. The record is from RefSeq and is a predicted model, not a curated record. The transcript has 3 exons.
UUGAAGAAGGAAAAUUAAAAGGCAAACCAUUCCAGUAUCUGUGCCAAGAAAACCCUAAAUGGGGAAUCACGAAGAAUCGGAUGUGAAUGAAAUGACUGAACAACGACGACAAUUUCCUGACUCCAGGACCAGCACUUUGUUCAUCGGACCAUCAUCUCCAAGAUGCCUGCAAGGGAAAUAAAGGCAUCUCCCAGCUGUACCAUUCAACAUUCUGUGACCCCCAAGGGCACUUCCAGCUCCAACAUUCUGCAAUUCUGUGAUCAGAUCUUCAGAGCCAAAGGAACUUCGUGUGGCUCAACAAUGAGGGAAUGCUGAGUGUGAAGCUCAUGCGUGAUUGAUAUGACAGAAAGACAGAGAAAUGGAGAAACAGCGCCUGGCAAUAAAGCAGAACCAUGCACCCAGCAACACCUUUGAUCUCGACCAUAUGGAGUUCCUCCUUGCUCUCGAAAAAAUCUCCCUUGUCUCCGAGAGAAACUGGGGCCCCCAGAUGGCCAAAUACCACUCCUGACCAUGACUUCAUUGAUUAUGCUAUCUUCUGAUUGGUCCUGAUUGAAAAUAAAUAAAACGUGCCUU